AUCCCGUGAUUAGGGCAUCUCAGAAGUAACUCCUUGAAUAUUUCCCAUGCCUUGUAUAGGGACUCAUCAUCCAUUUGUUGGAAAGUAGUGAUCUUAUUCUGUAAUU
This is a non-coding RNA of Gossypium arboreum, 106 nucleotides long. The record is from Rfam. NCBI's taxonomy places the organism in Eukaryota, Viridiplantae, Streptophyta, Magnoliopsida, Malvales, Malvaceae.